UACGUAGGAUGCGAGCGUUGUCCGGAAUUACUGGGCGUAAAGCGCGCGUAGGCGGCGCGGCGCGACGACGGUGAAAGCCCCCGGCCCAACCGGGGAGGGCCCGUCGUAACGGCCGUGCUGCGAGUGCAGGAGAGGGAAGUGGAACUCCGGGAGUAGCGGUGAAAUGCGUAGAGACCCGGAGGAACACCGGUGGCGAAGGCGGCUUCCUGGCCUGCGACUGACGCUGAGGCGCGAAAGCUAGGGGA
RNAcentral lists this ribosomal RNA (245 nucleotides) under uncultured bacterium. Its description in RNAcentral is "partial 16S ribosomal RNA". It matches the Rfam family "Bacterial small subunit ribosomal RNA", at positions 524 to 767 of the family's 1533-position model. The record is from RNAcentral.